Molecule: ribosomal RNA, 301 nt
Filed under: uncultured bacterium
Lineage: Bacteria
Description: partial 16S ribosomal RNA
Rfam family: Bacterial small subunit ribosomal RNA
Source: RNAcentral
CAGUCGCCGCGGUAAUACGGAGGGGGCUAGCGUUGUUCGGAAUUACUGGGCGUAAAGCGCACGUAGGCGGCUUGGUAAGUUAGAGGUGAAAGCCCGGAGCUCAACUCCGGAAUUGCCUUUAAGACUGCCGAGCUAGUAGGUGAGAGAGGUAGGUGGAAUUCCGAGUGUAGAGGUGAAAUUCGUAGAUAUUCGGAAGAACACCAGUGGCGAAGGCGGCUUACUGGCUCAUUCUAGACGCUGAGGUGCGAAAGCGUGGGGAGCAAACAGGAUUAGAUACCCCAGUAGUCCCUGUCUCUUAUAC